AUUUUACCGAACGUUCGACCACCCAAGCCAGUCGUGUGCUGUCAAUUGACUUAUUUGACUCUGUGCCAAACCGCAACCCCAACGUUCUAAGUGUUUGACUGGGUGGCCGUCGAUUCGUAUGCACGAACACGUGGCAGCGGCCAUCUUGUUUUGUUGAACGUGUCCAGCGGGAUUUGAUCGUCGAGUGUCUGGAACUAUUUUCGGACAUUUAAUCUCCCGAACACCGCUGAGACUUCAAGGAC
This is a non-coding RNA of Pelobates cultripes (western spadefoot toad), 242 nucleotides long. NCBI's taxonomy places the organism in Eukaryota, Metazoa, Chordata, Amphibia, Anura, Pelobatidae. The record is from the annotation of a GenBank genome assembly.